GACGAACGCUGGCGGCGUGCUUAACACAUGCAAGUCGAACGGAAAGGCCCUGCUUUUGUGGGGUGCUCGAGUGGCGAACGGGUGAGUAACACGUGAGUAACCUGCCCUUGACUUUGGGAUAACUUCAGGAAACUGGGGCUAAUACCGGAUAGGAGCUCCUGCUGCAUGGUGGGGGUUGGAAAGUUUCGGCGGUUGGGGAUGGACUCGCGGCUUAUCAGCUUGUUGGUGGGGUAGUGGCUUACCAAGGCUUUGACGGGUAGCCGGCCUGAGAGGGUGACCGGCCACAUCGGGACUGAGAUACGGCCCAGACUCCUACGGGAGGCAGCAGUGGGGAAUAUUGCACAAUGGGCGGAAGCCUGAUGCAGCAACGCCGCGUGCGGGAUGACGGCCUUCGGGUUGUAAACCGCUUUCGCCUGUGACGAAGCGUGAGUGACGGUAAUGGGUGAAGAAGCACCGGCUAACUACGUG
This 468-nucleotide ribosomal RNA is filed under the name uncultured bacterium. RNAcentral's name for it is "partial 16S ribosomal RNA". It matches the Rfam family "Bacterial small subunit ribosomal RNA", at positions 28 to 507 of the family's 1533-position model. The record is from RNAcentral.